RNAcentral lists this non-coding RNA (215 nucleotides) under Candidatus Omnitrophota. Lineage: Bacteria; Pseudomonadati. The record is from RNAcentral.
AAAACUGGCAUUUCUGAUGGUUAAGGGAAGCUGGUGAUGUUUUGACUGAAUGUCGGAACUAUUCCAGCACAGCCCCGCUGCUGUGAUCCUGCCUUUUUCACGAUAUGUGAAAAAGGAACCCUUUUAGCAGUUUAUGGUCACUGCCCUUAAUGAGGGUGGGAAGGCCGCUAAAAGGGCGGGAGAGUCAGAAGACCUGCCAUCAGAAAAUUCUGUAA